This 292-nucleotide ribosomal RNA is filed under the name uncultured bacterium. RNAcentral describes it as "partial 16S ribosomal RNA". It matches the Rfam family "Bacterial small subunit ribosomal RNA", at positions 505 to 796 of the family's 1533-position model. The record is from RNAcentral.
GUGUCAGCAGCCGCGGUAAUACAGAGGUCUCAAGCGUUGUUCGGAUUCAUUGGGCGUAAAGGGUGCGUAGGUGGCGCCGUAAGUCAGGUGUGAAAUCUCGGGGCUCAACCCCGAAACUGCACUUGAUACUGCGGUGCUCGAGUACUGGAGAGGAGAUUGGAAUUUACGGUGUAGCAGUGAAAUGCGUAGAUAUCGUAAGGAAGACCAGUGGCGAAGGCGAAUCUCUGGACAGUUACUGACACUGAGGCACGAAGGCCAGGGGAGCAAACGGGAUUAGAUACCCCCGUAGUCC